This is a long non-coding RNA of Erpetoichthys calabaricus (reedfish), 1123 nucleotides long. RefSeq lists it as uncharacterized. The transcript is spliced from 3 exons. The record is from RefSeq and is a predicted model, not a curated record. Lineage: Eukaryota; Metazoa; Chordata; Cladistia; Polypteriformes; Polypteridae.
CACCGGGGGCGUGUCCUUACAGGUCCAGUGUGUACAGAAAACUAGAGCCUCGGUCACUACCAGAUGUGACAGUCGGGAGAGCAGAGAGCAAGGGAAACAUUACGGUAUCCGUCUAAACGCAUCAGAAUUACUAAAUGUUAUGUGGCAAAUUUUUUCCGUCUUCUCACACUUUACUUGAUUUUAGAACUAUUCAUAACCCGUUACUUAAUUUUAAAAAUCGAAUAUAAAUUUACACCACUGUCUGGAAUUUCUGUUGCUGAAGCAGAGUAUUUUUAUCUGUUAUUGUAAAUGGGAUUAAUGUAUCUUGUAUCUAUGUUUAAUUUACAUUUUUUUUUAACUCGAGUUAAAGGGAAUUACGGUCGUUCACGUCACAGGGUGUAUUAUUUUGCUCACGUGUAAGCAUAUCAGCCAAUCAGAACUCCUAUGAAAAUGACGUAUCAUGAUGCUGCUGGACGCAAGCAUUCGUAUUUUAUUUUGUAUAGUAUUCUACGGUUUGUUUAGCGGUUCACGCCGCAUUUACAAGGCAUUUUAACUUCAUUUACAAUACAAUUGUGUAAUAUGUUGUCUUACAAACCCAUUACAGUAAUCACAACUAGAGACAAAAAAUAUCGAAAUAUUUAAUCAAUUAUUGGCAAUAACAGAAGAUAGAAUUUGUGUUCACUCUAAGCGUAUUCGAUAAUUCGUAGUUCGUUUCCCUCGAUGACAGCUACAGUGAUUUAAGGUCUCUGUAGAAAAGUUUAACGAAGGGAACCACAUUUCGACUGUAAUGAAGUAACAAAACAUUAUUUAUUCAGCGGUGGCCCGGCGCCCUGCCAGGUGUUCUAACGAAACAUUCUACCCAUCGAAAUGAUCUACUUACUGAUACUACGCAUGCGCAGACCAAAAUUACGCAACUUUUCUCGAAGCUUACCAACUGCUUGUCGAUCUGUCCUACCUAGUGUUGAAGUUUGAGCUAUGGAAAAAAAGUGGGAAGAAAUUUAUAACUCACAAAAGGAGGGCUAAUGGAUGUGUUAACCAGUGAGUCUGCCAUGAGAACUGCAAAGAUGGACAUAGCCUGUGCUCUCCUUGAAUACAGAGGUGCAGUGUGAUAUGUGCAGUCGCUGGGCACAUUUUGAAUGUGAAA